Lycium ferocissimum is the source of this 346-nucleotide long non-coding RNA. RefSeq lists it as uncharacterized. The record is from RefSeq and is a predicted model, not a curated record. The transcript has 2 exons. Lineage: Eukaryota; Viridiplantae; Streptophyta; Magnoliopsida; Solanales; Solanaceae.
GUUGCUCUCGUAUUGUACCCUUUAAAUUAGAUGGUCAUCAAUCGAUUGUGGGUGUUUUCUUUUUUUGAGUUUGGUAGAGUUGAGUAUUUGCGAAAUGAUCUUAGAAGUGUUGAAAAUGAAGAAAUGGAAGGUGAUGAUCGGAGUGAAGACUUCGAGUCGUCUUCGAAACUUUAGAUCUUUGGGAAUGAUCUUUUGCUAGAUGUUUUAGGAAUGAUAUUUUGCUAGAUGUACUGUUUUAGGAAUGAUCUUUUGCUAUCAAACAAUUUAAAACUUAUGCAAACUCUCUUAAAAUGCAUGUAAACUUAACUAUGCAUAUUUGGGUUUUAACAUUUUGCUUUUAUGGAUA